UACGGAGGGUGCAAGCGUUAUCCGGAUUCACUGGGUUUAAAGGGUGCGUAGGCGGAUUAGAAAGUCCGUUGUGAAAUCUCUGAGCUUAACUCGGAAAUUGCGGUGGAUACUAUUAGUCUUGAAUACUGUGGAGGUUAGCGGAAUAUGUCAUGUAGCGGUGAAAUGCAUAGAUAUGACAUAGAACACCAAUUGCGAAAGGCAGCUGGCUACACAGAUAUUGACGUGAGGCACGAAAGCGUGGGGAUCAAACAGG
This 253-nucleotide ribosomal RNA is filed under the name uncultured bacterium. RNAcentral's name for it is "partial 16S ribosomal RNA". It matches the Rfam family "Bacterial small subunit ribosomal RNA", at positions 524 to 776 of the family's 1533-position model. The record is from RNAcentral.